GAGUUUGAUUCUGGCUCAGGAUGAACGCUGGCGGCGUGCCUAAUACAUGCAAGUCGAGCGAGAAGCUUGGAAAUGACGCUUCGGUUGAUUUUCCAAGCGGACAGCGGCGGACGGGUGAGUAACGCGUAGGCAACCUGCCCCUGACAGAGGGAUAGCCAUUGGAAACGAUGAUUAAAACCUCAUGACACCGUAGUAGCACAUGCUACAUCGGUCAAAGAUUUAUCGGUCAGGGAUGGGCCUGCGUCUGAUUAACUGGUUGGUGAGGUAACGGCUCACCAAGGUGACGAUCAGUAGCCGACCUGAGAGGGUGAUCGGCCACAUUGGAACUGAGACACGGUCCAAACUUCUACGGAAGGCAGCAGUAGGGAAUCUUGCACAAUGGGCGAAAGCCUGAUGCAGCAACGCCGCGUGAAGGAUGAAGCCUUCGGGUUGUAAACUUCUGUUCUAAGGGAAGAAAGAAAUGACG
This 466-nucleotide ribosomal RNA is filed under the name Mogibacterium timidum. RNAcentral describes it as "bacterial SSU rRNA". It matches the Rfam family "Bacterial small subunit ribosomal RNA", at positions 9 to 474 of the family's 1533-position model. Lineage: Bacteria; Bacillati; Bacillota; Clostridia; Peptostreptococcales; Anaerovoracaceae. The record is from RNAcentral.